This 55-nucleotide ribosomal RNA is filed under the name Theobroma microcarpum. RNAcentral's name for it is "partial large subunit ribosomal RNA". The record is from RNAcentral. Lineage: Eukaryota; Viridiplantae; Streptophyta; Magnoliopsida; Malvales; Malvaceae.
ACCUNGGAUCGGGUAGGGAUACCCGCUGAACUUAAGCAUAUCAAUAAGCGGAGGA